RNAcentral lists this ribosomal RNA (442 nucleotides) under uncultured soil bacterium. Its description in RNAcentral is "bacterial SSU rRNA". It matches the Rfam family "Bacterial small subunit ribosomal RNA", at positions 26 to 518 of the family's 1533-position model. The record is from RNAcentral.
AGAACGAACGCUGGCGGCAUGCCUAAUACAUGCAAGUCGAACGAACACUUCGGUGUUAGUGGCGCACGGGUGCGUAACGCGUGGGAAUCUGCCCUUGGGUUCGGAAUAACAGUUGGAAACGACUGCUAAUACCGGAUGAUGACGAAAGUCCAAAGAUUUAUCGCCCAGGGAUGAGCCCGCGUAGGAUUAGCUAGUUGGUGAGGUAAAGGCUCACCAAGGCGACGAUCCUUAGCUGGUCUGAGAGGAUGAUCAGCCACACUGGGACUGAGUCACGGCCCAGACUCCUACGGGAGGCAGCAGUAGGGAAUAUUGGACAAUGGGCGAAAGCCUGAUCCAGCAAUGCCGCGUGAGUGAUGAAGGCCUUAGGUUGUAAAGCUCUUUACCCGAGAUGAUAAUGACAGUAUCGGAGAAUAAGCCCGGCUAACUCCGUGCCAGCAGCCGC